GAGUUUGAUCCUGGCUCAGGAUGAACGCUGGCGGCGUGCCUAAUACAUGCAAGUCGAGCGAACAGACGAGGAGCUUGCUCCUCUGACGUUAGCGGCGGACGGGUGAGUAACACGUGGAUAACCUACCUAUAAGACUGGGAUAACUUCGGGAAACCGGAGCUAAUACCGAAUAAUAUAUUGAACCGCAUGGUUCAAUAGUGAAAAACGGUUUUGCUGUCACUUAUAGAUGGAUCCGCGCCGCAUUAGCUAGUUGGUAGGGUAACGGCUUACCAAGGCGACGAUGCGUAGCCGACCUGAGAGGGUGAUCGGCCACACUGGAACUGAGACACGGUCCAGACUCCUACGGGAGGCAGCAGUAGGGAAUCUUCCGCAAUGGGCGAAAGCCUGACGGAGCAACGCCGCGUGAGUGAUGAAGGUCUUCGGAUCGUAAAACUCUGUUAUUAGGGAAGACAAAUGUGUAAGUAACUAUGCACGUCUUGACGGUACCUAAUCAGAAAGCCACGGCUAACUACGUGCCAGCCGCCG
This 525-nucleotide ribosomal RNA is filed under the name uncultured microorganism. Its description in RNAcentral is "bacterial SSU rRNA". It matches the Rfam family "Bacterial small subunit ribosomal RNA", at positions 9 to 517 of the family's 1533-position model. The record is from RNAcentral.